RNAcentral lists this ribosomal RNA (1942 nucleotides) under Saccinobaculus doroaxostylus. RNAcentral describes it as "SSU rRNA". It matches the Rfam family "Eukaryotic small subunit ribosomal RNA". The record is from RNAcentral. Lineage: Eukaryota; Preaxostyla; Oxymonadida; Saccinobaculidae.
AAAGAUUAAGCCAUGCACGUCUCAGUGUAAGCAAUUUAAACUGUGAAACUGCGGAUGGCUCAUUAGCUCAGUUAUAAUUUAUUUGAUAAUGAUUUACUACUUGGAUAACUGUUGUAAUUCAAGAGCUAAUACAUGCGUAAAGGUCCAACUCGAGAGGGAAGGACUGUGUUUAUUAGAUCGAAAACCAGCGGGGUUCUGUGGUUUCGGCCAUAGGCCCAUUGUUGUUGGUGAAUCAUGAUAAAUGUCGAAUCGGGCACUAGUCCGAUGUGUCAUUCAAAUUUCUGCCCUAUCAACUGUUGAUGGUAGGAUAGGGGCCUACCAUGGUUUUGACGGGUAACGGAGAAUUAGGGUUCGAUUCCGGAGAGGGAGCCUGAGAGAUGGCUACCACUUCCAAGGAAGGCAGCAGGCGCGCAAAUUACCCAAUCCCAAUCAUUUUGGGGAGGUAGUGACAAAAAAUAAUAAUGCAGGGAUCUAAUGGUCUUAUGCAAUUGUAAUGGUCCAAAUGUAAAUUGUUUGGAGAGCAGCCAUUAGAGGGCAAGUCUGGUGCCAGCAGCCGCGGUAAUUCCAGCUCUAAUAGUGUAUAUUAAAAUUGCUGCAGUUAAAAAGCUCGUAGUUGGAUUUUGGAGGAGACAGUAUGCUUGCAGGUUUUUUGCUGUGCUUCUUUGCUCGUGAUGGUUGUCCUUCCAAAAGGUGCCGUUUGCGACGGUUGUGUGGCCCUGUAGGUUGUCUUUUCCGGUAUUUUUCGGAGCUAUAUAUCCUCCUUCAUUGGCUGGCUAUAUGGAUUCGGAGAGUUUACUUUGAAGAAAAUGGAGUGUUCAAAGCAGGCGUUUCGCAGCUGAACACAUUAGCAUGGAAUAAUAAAAUAGGACAUCUGUGGGCUUCUACCGUCUUCGGGCUGCACUCUUGCUUUUCUCGCUGGCUUUGUUGGGGUCUCACGACCUCUUCAUUGCUCCCAGCGGUUCAGGGGUGAUUUGUUCGAUGUUCAUAGGGGGAGUUCUAUCUUGUAUAUCCAUUUUGUUGGUUCAUGGAGCAGGUGUAAUGAUUAAUAGGGACAGUUGGGGGCAUCUGUAUUGCAUUGUCAGAGGUGAAAUUCUUGGAUUUAUGCAAGACAAACUAGUGCGAAAGCAUUUGCCAAGGAUGUUUUCAUUAAUCAAGAACGAAAGUUAGGGGAUCGAAGGCGAUCAGAAACCGCCGUAGUCUUAACCAUAAACGAUACCAUCUUGGUUUUGAAGGGUUUUGCCUGAUUAUGGCCCCAUCAGCGCCAUUAGAGAAAUCAAAGUCUCUGGGUUCUGGGGGGAGUAUGGCUGCAAAGCUGAAACUUAAAGAAAUUGACGGAAGGGCACCACCAGGUGUGGAGCCUGCGGCUUAAUUUGACUCAACACGGGGAAACUUACCAGGUCCGGACACGAGAAGGAUUGACAGAUUGAUAGCUCUUUCUUGAUUUCGUGGGUGGUGGUGCAUGGUCGUUCUUAGUUGGUGGAGUGAUUUGUCUGGUUAAUUCCGAUAACGAACGAGACCUCAAUCUGCUAAAUAGGCGGGCAACGGGCUUCCGCUCGAUGCCUAUUAGCCUUCUUAGAGAGACUACCUAAGUCGCAUUAGGGGGAAGCAUGAGGCAAUAACAGGUCUGUGAUGCCCUUAGAUGUCCUGGGCCGCACGCGCGCUACACUGAUGCAGUCAACAAGUCUGUCCAAGCCCGAAAGGGCAAGGUAAUCUUUUCAAACUGCAUCGUGCUGGGGAUUGAUCUUUGUAAUUUUGGAUCAUGAACGAGGAAUACCUAGUAAGUGCAAGUCACCAACUUGCGCUGAUUACGUCCCUGCCCUUUGUACACACCGCCCGUCGCUCCUACCGAUUGAAUGAUCAGACGAAAUGCUUGGAUUGUGCGUUUGUGGAUGCUUCUGUGUUUACGAAUGUGCGAGAAGAGUAGUAAAUCUUAUUAUUUAGA